RNAcentral lists this unclassified non-coding RNA (227 nucleotides) under Hevea brasiliensis (rubber tree). Lineage: Eukaryota; Viridiplantae; Streptophyta; Magnoliopsida; Malpighiales; Euphorbiaceae. The record is from RNAcentral.
GAACAUUGGGCAGGCCAAAUCCACGGUUGCUGCUUCUGCUGCUGUUGCAAUUAACCGACACCUUAAUAUUGAAGCUUUGCAGAACCGAGUUAGUCCUGAGACUGAAAAUGUCUUUGAUGAUAGCUUUUGGGAGAAUUUGAGUGUCGUAGUUAAUGCACUAGACAACGUCAAUGCAAGGCUAUAUGUUGAUCAAAGGUGCUUAUACUUCCAGAAGCCACUUUUAGAAU